RNAcentral lists this long non-coding RNA (713 nucleotides) under Cyanistes caeruleus (blue tit). RNAcentral describes it as "lncRNA (ENSCCEG00000020653.1)". The record is from RNAcentral. Lineage: Eukaryota; Metazoa; Chordata; Aves; Passeriformes; Paridae.
CAUCCUUUUUGGAAUGACAGUCAUCUCAUCUGAAGGCAGAUGUCUAAAGUAUGUUUUCUGAAUCAUGGAUAUUUUUGUCCACUGGCUUUAUUGGAACUUCAGGUGAAUAGCUGAGUUGGAGCUGCCUGUAAUAGAGUUGCUCAGACUUAAAUGAGAUUAUUCCUACCUGAAAUGCCAGCAACUACCCACCACCCUUCCUAUCUGCUCUGUACACCAAGAGCUGUAUGACAGGUGGACAGCUGCCUUCUGAGAGCCUUUGUCUGCAGCUGCUAUGUUCUCCAUCUGCCUGCCUUUGUUACCACUCCUUGCUGCUGCACUUGGCUUUGCUGAUUCUCCCAAGAUCUCUCAUCCAAGGUCCCUGACUCCUCCUGAGUUGGCUGCAACUUCCAGCUAUUGCUGUGAUCUCUGGUUGUCCUGCAGUACAUGCCAUGAGAUACCACAGAAAUAACUGCAAGUGUUCAGCUGGAACAUGCAAAGGCUUGAUAAUGUGAACCACAGGAAAUGAGGAGAUAAGGUAAAACAAUUCAUAGCUCUUGCUCAGCAGUAGAAGGAGGAGCUGAAAAGAAGAGCGAAGAGCACUUAUCUGGAGGAUGCAUAUUAAGACUUUCUGCUAUUCCUAUGCUUGGAAAAAAAAUAAUUCAGAUAACUGUAUAGCUGCAGCUCUUAUGCAAGAUGAUAAGAGAAAAGAAUAAAGGACUUCUUUGGAAAGAACA